RNAcentral lists this ribosomal RNA (592 nucleotides) under Fusarium equiseti. RNAcentral's name for it is "partial large subunit ribosomal RNA". It matches the Rfam family "Eukaryotic large subunit ribosomal RNA", at positions 43 to 658 of the family's 3401-position model. The record is from RNAcentral. Lineage: Eukaryota; Fungi; Ascomycota; Sordariomycetes; Hypocreales; Nectriaceae.
CCAAAAAGCGGAGGAAAAGAAACCAACAGGGAUUGCCCUAGUAACGGCGAGUGAAGCGGCAACAGCUCAAAUUUGAAAUCUGGCUCUCGGGCCCGAGUUGUAAUUUGUAGAGGAUGCUUUUGAUGCGGUGCCUUCCGAGUUCCCUGGAACGGGACGCCAUAGAGGGUGAGAGCCCCGUCUGGUUGGAUGCCAAAUCUCUGUAAAGCUCCUUCGACGAGUCGAGUAGUUUGGGAAUGCUGCUCUAAAUGGGAGGUAUAUGUCUUCUAAAGCUAAAUACCGGCCAGAGACCGAUAGCGCACAAGUAGAGUGAUCGAAAGAUGAAAAGCACUUUGAAAAGAGAGUUAAAAAGUACGUGAAAUUGUUGAAAGGGAAGCGUUUAUGACCAGACUUGGGCUUGGUUAAUCAUCUGGGGUUCUCCCCAGUGCACUUUUCCAGUCCAGGCCAGCAUCAGUUUUCGCCGGGGGAUAAAGGCUUCGGGAAUGUGGCUCUCUCCGGGGAGUGUUAUAGCCCGUUGCGUAAUACCCUGGCGGGGACUGAGGUUCGCGCAUCUGCAAGGAUGCUGGCGUAAUGGUCAUCAACGACCCGUCUCGAA